Molecule: ribosomal RNA, 399 nt
Filed under: uncultured bacterium
Lineage: Bacteria
Description: bacterial SSU rRNA
Rfam family: Bacterial small subunit ribosomal RNA
Source: RNAcentral
GAUGAACGCUAGCGGCAGGCUUAACACAUGCAAGUCGAGGGGCAGCACGUCUUCGGAUGGUGGCGACCGGCGCACGGGUGCGUAACGCGUAUAGAACCUACCUUUUACAGGGGAAUAGCCCAGAGAAAUUUGGAUUAAUGCCCCAUAGUAUUAUUGAAUGGCAUCAUUUAAUAAUUAAACAUUUAUGGGUAAAAGAUGGCUAUGCGUUCUAUUAGCUAGUAGGUAAGGUAACGGCUUACCUAGGCAACGAUAGAUAGGGGUCCUGAGAGGGAGAUCCCCCACACUGGUACUGAGACACGGACCAGACUCCUACGGGAGGCAGCAGUGAGGAAUAUUGGACAAUGGGCGCAAGCCUGAUCCAGCCAUGCCGCGUGCGGGAAGAAGGCCUCGGUUGUAACG